CAGCUCCCUUCCCUGUAACUGAUAUUAACGUGCUGAAGGAAUGAACAAGCCCUACUGAUUGUUUUCUCUGUCUUAAGGGUGGCGCCAACUAUAGAUGGCACCUCUUGCAAAGCUCUCGGAUCAAUUGGGAGCAUAUGUAGAAGCAGAACAGUGUUUACUGAUGUCAUGAUGAUAAAGAUGAAGGGCUCUUGGGAGAAGCUGCAGGUUGGUUGGUCUUGGUAGCGUUUAAAGUUCCAUAUAAAAUGUUCAGUGUGGACACAACCAUGAGGUCCCACCUCCUACUCUCCUCCUAGCUGAUAAAAA
Molecule: long non-coding RNA, 303 nt
Organism: Pezoporus flaviventris
Lineage: Eukaryota; Metazoa; Chordata; Aves; Psittaciformes; Psittacidae
Exons: 3
Source: RefSeq, a predicted model, not a curated record